This 600-nucleotide ribosomal RNA is filed under the name uncultured marine crenarchaeote. RNAcentral's name for it is "bacterial SSU rRNA". It matches the Rfam family "Archaeal small subunit ribosomal RNA", at positions 880 to 1478 of the family's 1478-position model. Lineage: Archaea; Thermoproteati; Thermoproteota. The record is from RNAcentral.
CACAAGGGGUGAAACCUGCGGUUCAAUUGGAGUCAACGCCAGAAAUCUUACCCGGAGAGACAGCAGAAUGAAGGUCAAGCUGAAGACUUUACCAGACAAGCUGAGAGGUGGUGCAUGGCCGUCGCCAGCUCGUGCCGUGAGAUGUCCUGUUAAGUCAGGUAACGAGCGAGAUCCCUGCCUCUAGUUGCCACCAUUACUCUCAGGAGUAGUGGGGCGAAUUAGCGGGACCGCCGCAGUUAAUGCGGAGGAAGGAAGGGGCCACGGCAGGUCAGUAUGCCCCGAAACUCUGGGGCCACACGCGGGCUGCAAUGGUAACGACAAUUGGUUUCGAAUCCGAAAGGAUGAGGUAAUCCUCAAACGUUACCACAGUUAUGACUGAGGGCUGCAACUCGCCCUCACGAAUAUGGAAUCCCUAGUAACUGCGUGUCAUUAUCGCGCGGUGAAUACGUCCCUGCUCCUUGCACACACCGCCCGUCGUUUCAUUGAAGUGAGCUUUUAGCGAGGUGACGUCUAAUUGGCGUUAUCGAACUUGAGGUUCGUGACAAGGGAAAAGUCGUAACAAGGUGACCGUAGGGGAACCUGCGGUCGGAUCACCUCCUU